AGUAACGGCGAGUGAACGGAGAUUAGCCCAGCACCGAAGCCUGUUCAUGUAUGUGGACAAGGCAAUGUGGUGUUUAGACAUGCAUCUUGGAUGGCUCGUCUGCUCGAAGUCCACUCCGAUUAUGGCUUUGGAUUUGUCCCAUAGAGGGUGAAAGGCCCGUUCGAGUAGGCAUUGCUCUUUUGAGCUGUCUUUAGAUAUGCGUGUUCUAGAGUCGGAUUGCUUGAGAAUGCAGUCCAAAGUGGGUGGUAAACUCCAUCCAAGGCUAAAUACUGGCACGAGUCCGAUAGUAGACAAGUACCGUGAGGGAAAGUUGAAAAGUACUCUGAAGAGAGAGUAAAUAGUACGUGAAGCCGACUGAAUCGAAGCUGGUGGAGUCAAGCUUCUAGCUUGCAGAAUUGACGCGGAGACCUUGCUGGUUAAGGAGUCUAGCUGGGCUAGCUUUUAAAUAGCUGGGUACCUUGGUACUUCAUGUUAUCUGGGCUGGUUGCAUUUGUCUCGCUGUGAACUCCGGUCUCUUGUGUUAUUUCUUCUUGCUUGUAUCACGGUCAAUGUUCUUGUGGUGUGAGUAUGUCUAACCGAGUUAUAGUGUGCAUUCUGCUUGCUUGACUCGGGAUGGCAGGUGAUGACCCUUGAGCUUUGCUUAAUGGUCAUGUAUACUGGUUUCGACCUGCUGAUGUACACACUGCUAAUACUAUCAAGUUCAUUGCUUCUAUAUCGGCAGUAUCCUUAUUAAGUUUCUGUCGUGAGAGCCGUGGUUUUGAAGUAGAUUUUCCACCGGACCCGUCUUGAAACACGGACCAAGGAGUUUAACUUGAUCGCGAGUCAUUGGAUUCUUAUGAAAUCCGAAGGCGCAAUGAAAGUGAACGGUUGCAUUUGUAGCCGAAGGUGUGAUCUUGGUUUACCUUGACUAAGGUGACCGAGCGUAACACCGGCCCGUCACUAAAUGUAGUCAUGCUUGCUACCAGCUUGUGUGCAUCAUUGAGGCGGCGCAAGAGCGAUCAAGUUGAGACCCGAAAGAUGGUGAACUAUGCUUGCGUAGGUUGAAGCCAGAGGAAACUCUGGUGGAUGACCGUCGCGGUUUUGACGUGCAAAUCGAUCGUCAAACGUGAGCAUAGGGGCGAAAGACUAAUCGAACCAUCUAGUAGCUGGUUCCCUCCGAAGUUUCCCUCAGGAUAGCUGGCACUCAUUUACAGUUUUAUCCGGUAAAGCGAAUGAUUAGAGGUAUUGGGGACUAUAUGACCUCAACCUAUUCUCAAACUAUUAAUGGGUACGAUGCAUGGCUCGCUUAAUUGGAGUUGUGCAUUGAAUGUGAGUGCUAAGUGGGCCAUUUUUGGUAAGCAGAACUGGCGCUGUGGGAUGCUCCGAACGUCAAGAUAAGGUGCCAAAUGUUGGCGCUCAUGAGACACCACAAAAGGUGUUAAUGCAUAUAGACAGCAGGACGGUGGCCAUGAAAGUUGGAAUCCG
Molecule: ribosomal RNA, 1464 nt
Filed under: Ancyrocephalinae gen. sp. 9 IBC-2015
Lineage: Eukaryota; Metazoa; Platyhelminthes; Monogenea; Dactylogyridea; Dactylogyridae
Description: eukaryotic LSU rRNA
Rfam family: Eukaryotic large subunit ribosomal RNA
Source: RNAcentral